UGCAUGCCGGGCUGAGUUUCAGCCCGGGCUGAAAUUUCAGCCCGGGUAGCUCAAACCGGGCUGAAAUUUCAGCUCGGGCUGAAACUCGCCCCGGCUGAA
This 99-nucleotide microRNA precursor is filed under the name Paramuricea clavata. Lineage: Eukaryota; Metazoa; Cnidaria; Anthozoa; Malacalcyonacea; Plexauridae. The record is from RNAcentral.